Molecule: ribosomal RNA, 1187 nt
Filed under: Mycobacterium sp. IMER-B2-27
Lineage: Bacteria; Bacillati; Actinomycetota; Actinomycetes; Mycobacteriales; Mycobacteriaceae
Description: bacterial SSU rRNA
Rfam family: Bacterial small subunit ribosomal RNA
Source: RNAcentral
CUGGGUCUAAUACCGAAUAUGACCAUGCGCCUCCUGGUGUGUGGUGGAAAGCUUUUGCGGUGUGGGAUGGGCCCGCGGCCUAUCAGCUUGUUGGUGGGGUAAUGGCCUACCAAGGCGACGACGGGUAGCCGGCCUGAGAGGGUGACCGGCCACACUGGGACUGAGAUACGGCCCAGACUCCUACGGGAGGCAGCAGUGGGGAAUAUUGCACAAUGGGCGCAAGCCUGAUGCAGCGACGCCGCGUGAGGGAUGACGGCCUUCGGGUUGUAAACCUCUUUCAGCACAGACGAAGCGCAAGUGACGGUAUGUGCAGAAGAAGGACCGGCCAACUACGUGCCAGCAGCCGCGGUAAUACGUAGGGUCCGAGCGUUGUCCGGAAUUACUGGGCGUAAAGAGCUCGUAGGUGGUUUGUCGCGUUGUUCGUGAAAACUCACAGCUUAACUGUGGGCGUGCGGGCGAUACGGGCAGACUUGAGUACUGCAGGGGAGACUGGAAUUCCUGGUGUAGCGGUGGAAUGCGCAGAUAUCAGGAGGAACACCGGUGGCGAAGGCGGGUCUCUGGGCAGUAACUGACGCUGAGGAGCGAAAGCGUGGGGAGCGAACAGGAUUAGAUACCCUGGUAGUCCACGCCGUAAACGGUGGGUACUAGGUGUGGGUUUCCUUCCUUGGGAUCCGUGCCGUAGCUAACGCAUUAAGUACCCCGCCUGGGGAGUACGGCCGCAAGGCUAAAACUCAAAGAAAUUGACGGGGGCCCGCACAAGCGGCGGAGCAUGUGGAUUAAUUCGAUGCAACGCGAAGAACCUUACCUGGGUUUGACAUGCACAGGACGACUGCAGAGAUGUGGUUUCCCUUGUGGCCUGUGUGCAGGUGGUGCAUGGCUGUCGUCAGCUCGUGUCGUGAGAUGUUGGGUUAAGUCCCGCAACGAGCGCAACCCUUGUCCUAUGUUGCCAGCGGGUUAUGCCGGGGACUCGUAGGAGACUGCCGGGGUCAACUCGGAGGAAGGUGGGGAUGACGUCAAGUCAUCAUGCCCCUUAUGUCCAGGGCUUCACACAUGCUACAAUGGCCGGUACAAAGGGCUGCGAUGCCGUGAGGUGGAGCGAAUCCUUUCAAAGCCGGUCUCAGUUCGGAUCGGGGUCUGCAACUCGACCCCGUGAAGUCGGAGUCGCUAGUAAUCGCAGAUCAGCAACG